This 493-nucleotide long non-coding RNA is filed under the name Equus caballus (horse). RNAcentral's name for it is "lncRNA (ENSECAG00000055371.1)". Lineage: Eukaryota; Metazoa; Chordata; Mammalia; Perissodactyla; Equidae. The record is from RNAcentral.
AAUAGGAAUAGCUAUGUUAUGCUCUAAUCUGUUAGCCUCUGUAAUCCCUGGCUACAGUUGAUUCAUCCAGGGUUAGAGACUUAGUUUAAGCAAGGCCAGAGUCCUCUCUUAGGAAUUUUGAAACUAGAACUGAGAACAAACUAACUCCACUAUCUGUUUGCAUUCCUGCACUGUAAUAUACAAAGCUUUAGAGCUUUUGAUAGCCAUGUUCCUACCAUGUGGGUCAAAGAAGCAAUGCAACUGGUCUGGAAAAAGAAGGAGAGAAAAUGAAGCAAAGCUACGGAGAGGAACAAGAAAAAGAAGACUGCUGAUUCCUGGUUCCACAUGUUUUUGAGACGCAGCCACAUUAUUGACCUUGCAUUCUGAGACACCACAAUAUUCUUAUAGCUCAUCAUCCACAUCAUACAGUUACCCAGCGACGGAAAGCCAACAUUUAUUUGUUCCAAGUCUUCUACUGAGGUACUUCAUGUACUGCUUUCCUAGGCUUUUUGCU